Molecule: ribosomal RNA, 387 nt
Filed under: uncultured bacterium
Lineage: Bacteria
Description: bacterial SSU rRNA
Rfam family: Bacterial small subunit ribosomal RNA
Source: RNAcentral
AUUGAACGCUGGCGGCAUGCUUUACACAUGCAAGUCGAACGGUAACAGGCCUUCGGGUGCUGACGAGUGGCGAACGGGUGAGUAAUGCAUCGGAACGUGCCCAAUCGUGGGGGGAUAACGUAGCGAAAGUUACGCUAAUACCGCAUAAGCCCUGAGGGGGAAAGUGGGGGACCGCAAGGCCUCACGCGGAUGGAGCGGCCGAUGUCAGAUUAGCUAGUUGGUGGGGUAAAGGCCCACCAAGGCGACGAGUCUGUAGCGGGUCUGAGAGGAUGAUCCGCCACACUGGGACUGAGACACGGCCCAGACUCCUACGGGAGGCAGCAGUGGGGAAUUUUGGACAAUGGGCGCAAGCCUGAUCCAGCCAUGCCGCGUGCGGGACGAAGGCCU